RNAcentral lists this small RNA (121 nucleotides) under Arabidopsis thaliana (thale cress). RNAcentral's name for it is "ATSL265370". Lineage: Eukaryota; Viridiplantae; Streptophyta; Magnoliopsida; Brassicales; Brassicaceae. The record is from RNAcentral.
AGUUCAAACAAAAAGUACCUAUGGUGGGCAUACCUAUUAUCUAAUAUCAAGUUCUAGGUGAUCAAUCUAAAACUAGGAAUAAGAAUAAUCAAGAUGAAGAACCCUAAGAAUAAUCCUAAGG